This 807-nucleotide ribosomal RNA is filed under the name Triticum aestivum (bread wheat). Its description in RNAcentral is "partial small subunit ribosomal RNA". The record is from RNAcentral. Lineage: Eukaryota; Viridiplantae; Streptophyta; Magnoliopsida; Poales; Poaceae.
AUGGACAAGACUUGGAUAACUUCUGCUCGAAGAUUCUUUGCUGCAUAUGUCGAGGGGGUUGAAAACUUCAUGAAGUUUAUCAGAGCUGAGUACAGUGGUCCGAAAUCAUAUGUGCUCUGCCCGUGUAGCAGUUGUAUGAAUUCAUUUACAAGACCCCUGUCAGCUGUGCAAAAUCAUCUACACUUGUAUGGGAUGUCGGUCACAUAUACUAGGUGGGUUCAUCAUCGUGAAGCCGUGAAUGUCAACGUUACUGACUACGUGGAAGCAGUAGAUCACCAUCUUGAUCUGCCUGAUGCUCAGGUGGAAGAGGAGGAGGAGUUGGUGGUGGUGGAGCCAGUGAGUUUGACCAACAUUGAAACAAUGCUACGAAAUGCUCAUGCAUUUCAUGAACUUUCACAUGCAGAAGAAAAAUGGUGGGCCCGCAUGUUGGAACAAUGCAAUGUGGCUGUCACCCCAGGAAAUAAGCUGUCAGUAUUCUCAGCUAUGGUCACCUUUCUUCAGGUGAAGACAUCUGAGCGGAUGACCAACAAAUCAUUCGAUGCGACGUUGGCUGCUUUACGCAAAGCUUUCCUAGAUGCGUCUGAGAUGCCACACACCUACAGUAAAAUGAAGAAUUUUCUUCGUGCAGUUGGAAUUGGAUAUGAUAUGAUCCAUGUUUGUAAGAAUAAUUGUGUUCUGUUCCGGAAGGAUUAUGCCAACUUAAGUGAAUGCCCAAAAUGCAAAUCAUCAAGAUGGAAAGAUGGCGAUGCUAUGAAGAGGAUUCCUCAUAAUGUUCUAAGACAUUUUCCAAUUACACCAAGAUUGUAG